Molecule: non-coding RNA, 31 nt
Filed under: Homo sapiens (human)
Lineage: Eukaryota; Metazoa; Chordata; Mammalia; Primates; Hominidae
Source: RNAcentral
UGAGCUGUGGGCAGAAAACAAUCUGGUGUCA